This 458-nucleotide long non-coding RNA is filed under the name Rattus norvegicus (Norway rat). RNAcentral's name for it is "long non-coding RNA NONRATT033025". The record is from RNAcentral. Lineage: Eukaryota; Metazoa; Chordata; Mammalia; Rodentia; Muridae.
AUUUAUUUUAAAAACUACAAUGACUAGAUUCCACACUUGCACAUACUUUUCAAAAACACGCUCAUGCAUAAAAUUACAUUUUGGGCAAUUUUAAUUACACGUUUCAUUCUUUUUAAUCAUAGUCAUCAAGGUGUCUUCCUUGGCUCCAUAAAUUACCGCACGAACAGAGCAACAAUUCGGAACCUCAUCGAGAGGACACAGGUGUCCCAGUUUCUUCUUGCCGUCAGACGCCCUUCACUCUUAGACAGAACAUAAGAUCCUGGGUAAGGCCAGAGGGAUGGCUUUGAAGGCAAAGGCACUUGCCAUCAAAUCUGAUGACCCGAGUUCAACCUUCAAGACCCAACCUUCAGGACAAGGGGAGAACCAACUCCUGGAAAUUGUCCUCUGAUCUACACAUCAGCCAAGGAGCAUGUGUGGGCAGGGGCACACACACACACCAAAUACACCAAAUAAAUAAA